RNAcentral lists this long non-coding RNA (1563 nucleotides) under Gossypium raimondii (Peruvian cotton). RNAcentral describes it as "long non-coding RNA (GRAI_LNC009010)". The record is from RNAcentral. Lineage: Eukaryota; Viridiplantae; Streptophyta; Magnoliopsida; Malvales; Malvaceae.
CCUUCUUUUAUUUAUUUUCACUCUCUGAUUGUUGUUCCUUACCUUUUCCCUCACUUUUUUUUCUCUCCAUUUUUUUUAUUCUUUCACCAUUGUUGUCGCCACUCACUACAUCUCUUUGCUCACUUUUUUUUCUUUUUUGUUGUGCCGCUUAUUGCUCUUCCAUUUUUACCAUUAUUGUCACCUUUUUUUUAAUUAUUUUUCCCAAUUUUAGCCGCCUGUUUACUACUGUUUUCCAACCUUUUGCUGCUAUUUUUCUUCAGCCAUUUUGUUGCUACGAUUUUCUUCUCUUUGUCGCCCAUUGUAGCCUUUUCCACUCUCUUUUUGUUGUUAAUUUUUUUCAUUGUUGUUUUCUUCCCUUAUUUUUUUGGUUGUUAAAAUGAACCCCUAAUCUUGUCGUUUAAGUGUGCAUCUGAUCUCAUCUAGUUUUCUAUCUUGGAUCUAGAAUUUGGAAGAGCAUAAGUGUUGAUUUUUGUCAAGAUCUUGUGUUGUAUUUUCCUUUGAUAUUUCUUUGUUUUGGCUGAAUGUAUCUAAGGCCAUACGAUUUUUUUUCCUUUGCUAGUUUUUGAUGCUAUUAUGUCUUAGGAACCAAUUUAAACACCCCAAAUCAACAUUGACAACAGAAUUAGUUCCCAUCUUCGUUUUAUAACAAAUUAAUGUAAGUAUUCUUCACCAAAGUUGGAUCUGAAAUAUCGCUUGUGAAUCGUUGUUUGAUUGAACCCUAUAGGGUGUUCUAAGGCUGAUUUUAAAUGCGUUUAAUCAUAUUAAGUGCAUAUCUAAUCUAGAGUAAUCUAGAUCUCUAGUGGCGUAGUGUGAACUUUUUUUAUUAGUGUUACGAAUUUGUGAUAUUAAGGCGUGGAACUUAAUUAUUUGUAAAUUGUGUAUGUAUGACUUAAAUAAUGUUAUUUGUGUAUGUUUUAACCAUGAUGCUUGUGGUAGUCGAAAACAUGAUGGCUAUUUUGGGGCAUAGCCAAAUGUAAAGGUGGUUGUCUAAUUAGCCGAUUGUGAAAUGUUGGCUGUGUUUACUUAUAUGCCACUGUUCUCAAUUAUUGAUCGCAUGAUAUGACUUGCUUCUAUACUGCACCGUAUUUGAUUUUUUCCAUUUUGAUAGGAAUGACAUUAUGCAUUGCAUCAGGAUUGGGUUGAUUCGAGACAAAGCAGACUUGUAGAGUUCUAGCGGUAUAUUCACGAUUUAUUGGAGUUUUGGCAGUAAAUCUGCAAAUUUGGAGUUUUGUUCAAAUUUCUGGCAGUUUGUCCACAUAUUGUUCUAGCGAUUCAUCUACAACACUGUUCUGGUGGUUUAAUCACAAAAUUUGACUGGCAGUAUAACAGUAAUUGUUUUCCGUUACUAGUGGUUUAACCACAAUGAGCUAAGGCUCCUUCUGACAUGAUGUGUAUGGUUGGAUAUGGUGUGUAGUGGAUGGAUGUUUAGGAAAAUUACAUUGAAAUUCUUGUACAAUUAUGGGAUAUGGUAUACUCUGAUAAUAAGGUAAUUGGUGAUAUUUUUGUUUCUAAUAUUUCUGUGUUCAUAAAUGAUCUUUGGUACACUGUUUAGUUUUGAUUGAA